RNAcentral lists this ribosomal RNA (253 nucleotides) under uncultured bacterium. RNAcentral's name for it is "partial 16S ribosomal RNA". It matches the Rfam family "Bacterial small subunit ribosomal RNA", at positions 524 to 776 of the family's 1533-position model. The record is from RNAcentral.
UACGGAGGGUGCAAACGUUGCUCGGAAUCACUGGGCGUAAAGGGUGCGUAGGCGGGUUUUUAAGUCAGGGGUGAAAUCCUGGAGCUCAACUCCAGAACUGCCUUUGAUACUGAAGAUCUUGAGUUCGGGAGAGGUGAGUGGAACUGCGAGUGUAGAGGUGAAAUUCGUAGAUAUUCGCAAGAACACCAGUGGCGAAGGCGGCUCACUGGCCCGAUACUGACGCUGAGGCACGAAAGCGUGGGGAGCAAACAGG